GGGAUAACACUUGGAAACAGGUGCUAAUACCGCAUAACCAUAGUUACCGCAUGGUAACUAUGUAAAAGGUGGCUAUGCUACCGCUUUUGGAUGGGCCCGCGGCGCAUUAGCUAGUUGGUGGGGUAAAGGCUUACCAAGGCAAUGAUGCGUAGCCGAACUGAGAGGUUGAUCGGCCACAUUGGGACUGAGACACGGCCCAAACUCCUACGGGAGGCAGCAGUAGGGAAUCUUCCACAAUGGGCGAAAGCCUGAUGGAGCAACGCCGCGUGGGUGAAGAAGGUCUUCGGAUCGUAAAACCCUGUUGUUAGAGAAGAAAGUGCGUGAGAGUAACUGUUCACGUUUCGACGGUAUCUAACCAGAAAGCCACGGCUAACUACGAGCCAGCAGCCGCGGUAAUACGUAGGUGGCAAGCGUUAUCCGGAUUUAUUGGGCGUAAAGGGAACGCAGGCGGUCUUUUAAGUCUGAUGUGAAAGCCUUCGGCUUAACCGGAGUAGUGCAUUGGAAACUGGGAGACUUGAGUGCAGAAGAGGAGAGUGGAACUCCAUGUGUAGCGGUGAAAUGCGUAGAUAUAUGGAAGAACACCAGUGGCGAAAGCGGCUCUCUGGUCUGUAACUGACGCUGAGGUUCGAAAGCGUGGGUAGCAAACAGGAUUAGAUACCCUGGUAGUCCACGCCGUAAAC
Molecule: ribosomal RNA, 680 nt
Filed under: uncultured bacterium
Lineage: Bacteria
Description: bacterial SSU rRNA
Rfam family: Bacterial small subunit ribosomal RNA
Source: RNAcentral